UGUUCCUCGUGUAUUCGCCGCUUUAGGCUGCACAUAUUCGCGAUGCAAAAAUUGCCACUCCUAACAACGCGGUAAAGAUUUGAUUGCGAAAUUGUGUGUUGCUCUGUGGCGUCGGGAAAAUAGAAGUGUAAAUAAGCGUAAAAUAAUCAAAUUCUGUACUAUAUUAUUGUAAAAAACUUAGAGCUACCCAUAUAUAUAUUCGUAAAUAAUAAAGUACAUACAUAAUUGCAAUGGCUGAGUACGUGUGCAAGGUAUGGAGCGCUGAUAGACGUACCAAAAAAACGCUUAUGACUUUAGCAUCUACGGAUACAUUAAUACAAGCAGCACUUAAUUUUGGUAUUAAAUGGUCCAAAAUAGUCUUAGAGUCCGACGGAACCGAAGUUUGUGGUGACGCAAUUCUGGAGCAUUAUUUAAAACAAAAUGAAGCUUUGAUGAUCAUAGAUAAUGAAGAAUGGUGCGAGAGAGCAGAAAGCAGUACUUCAGCAGCGGCAUUUCAAAGAGGCACUCUUGAGCAAACUAAUUCAAGUGAGUUCCUCAGAAAACCCUAUCUCCCCUAUC
Molecule: long non-coding RNA, 558 nt
Organism: Rhagoletis pomonella (apple maggot)
Lineage: Eukaryota; Metazoa; Arthropoda; Insecta; Diptera; Tephritidae
Exons: 3
Source: RefSeq, a predicted model, not a curated record